AGUGAACGCUGGCGGUAGGCCUAACACAUGCAAGUCGAACGGCAGCACAGUAAGAGCUUGCUCUUACGGGUGGCGAGUGGCGGACGGGUGAGGCAUACAUCGCAAUCUACUUUUUCGUGGGGGAUAACGUAGGGAAACUUACGCUAAUACCGCAUACUACCUACGGGUGAAAGCAGGGGAUCUUCGCACCUUGCGCGAUUGAAUGAGCCGAUGUCGGAUUAGCUAGUUGGCGGGGUAAAGGCCCACCAAGGCGACGAUCCGUAGCUGGUCUGAGAGGAUGAUCAGCCACACUGGAACUGAGACACGGUCCAGACUCCUACGGGAGGCAGCAGUGGGGAAUAUUGGACAAUGGGCGCAAGCCUGAUCCAGCCAUACCGCGUGGGUGAAGAAGGCCUUCGGGUUGUAAAGCCCUUUUGUUGGGAAAGAAAAGCAGCAGGUUAAUACCCCGCUGUUCUGACGGUACCCAAAGAACAAGCACCGGCUAACUUCGUG
RNAcentral lists this ribosomal RNA (492 nucleotides) under uncultured bacterium. Its description in RNAcentral is "partial 16S ribosomal RNA". It matches the Rfam family "Bacterial small subunit ribosomal RNA", at positions 29 to 507 of the family's 1533-position model. The record is from RNAcentral.